AAAUAAAUAUGUGUAGAGUUUUUCAGUGAAGGUAUAUGUAAAU
Molecule: non-coding RNA, 43 nt
Filed under: Trypanosoma brucei brucei
Lineage: Eukaryota; Euglenozoa; Kinetoplastea; Trypanosomatida; Trypanosomatidae
Source: RNAcentral